RNAcentral lists this unclassified non-coding RNA (314 nucleotides) under Ascomycota sp. RNAcentral describes it as "partial contains small subunit ribosomal RNA, internal transcribed spacer 1, and 5.8S ribosomal RNA". The stretch from base 1 to 47 matches the Rfam family "Eukaryotic small subunit ribosomal RNA", at positions 1785 to 1831 of the family's 1831-position model. Lineage: Eukaryota; Fungi; Ascomycota. The record is from RNAcentral.
AAAGUCGUAACAAGGUCUCCGUUGGUGAACCAGCGGAGGGAUCAUUACCGAGUGUAACAACUCCCAAACCCCUAUGUGAACUUUACCUUUUUGUUGCCUCGGCGGGAUCGUCCCGGGUGCGUUGCAGCCCCGGAACCAGGCGCCCGCCGCAGGAAAAAACCAAACACAACUUGUAUCCAGGCAAUGUUCUCCUAGUCUGCGCCUAGCGGACGAAAGACAGCAGCGCCGCAACGCCUCUGAAUAAACCUCUGAAGCGCCCUAGCGGGUGCUGAAGAAAUCAAUUAAAACUUUCAACAACGGAUCUCUUGGCUCUG